AAUUAGGGCACGGGCACAGCCGCGUCCAAAAAUCAGCCCCCGAAUGUCGGGGCGCCAAGACCCCCCAGCGGAAAAAUGGCCAAAAAAUGGGUGGGCUAUAGCCUUGGUGGGGGGCGUGGGCGAAGUUCGUCCGCCGGACUCGGAAUGGCCCCAGACUUUGCGGGCGGCCUCCGUGUGCCAAAAUUAGGCCCCGGGCACAGCCGUACCCAAAAAUCAGCCCCCGAAGGUCGGAGCGCCAAGACCCCCCAGCGGAAAAAUGGCCAAAAAACGGGUGGGCUAUAGCCUUGGUGGCGGGCGUGGGCGAAGUUCGUCCGCCGGACUCGGACUGGCCCCAGACUUUGCGGGCGGCCUCCGUUGGCCAAUAUUAGGCAACGGGCACAGCCGCGCCCAAAAAUCAUCCCCCGAAGGUCGGGGCGCCAAGACGCCCCAGCGGAAAAAUGGCCAAAAAACGGGUGGGCUAUAGCCUUGGUGGGGGGCGUGGGUGAAGUUCGUCCGCCGGACUCGGAAUGGCCCCAGACUUUGCGGGCGGCCUCCGUUGGCCAAUAUUAGGCAAUGGGCACAGCCGCUCCCAAAAAUCAUCCCCCGAAGGUCGGGGCGCCAAGACGCCCCAGCGGAAAAAUGGCCAACAAACGGGUGGGCUAUAGCCUUGGUGGGGGGCGUGGGCGAAGUUCGUCCGCCGGACUCGGAAUGGCCCCAGACUUUGCGGUCGGCCUCCGUUUGCCAAUAUUAGGCAACGGGCACAGCCGCGCCCAAAAAUCAAUCCCCGAAAGUCGGGGUGCCAAGACCCCCCAGCGAAAAAAUGGCCAAAAAACGGGUGGGCUAUAGCCUUGGUGGGGGGCGUGGGCGAAGUUCGUCCGCCGGACUCGGAAUGGCCCCAGACUUUGCGGGCGGCCUCCGUGUGCCAAAAUUAGGCCACGGGCACAGCUGCGCGCAAAAAACAGCCCCCGAAGGUCGGGGCGCCAAGACGCCCCAGCGGAAGAAUGGCCAAAAAACGGGCUGGCUAUUGCCUUGGUGGGGGGCGUGGCCGAAGUUCGUCCGCCGGACUCGGAAUGACCCCAGACUUUGCGGGCGGCCUCCGUUUGCCAAUAUUAGCCAACGGGCACAGCCGCGCCCAAAAAUCAGCCCCCGAAGGUCGGGGAGCCAAGACCCCCCAGCGGAAAAAUGGCCAAAAAACGGGUGGGCUAUAACCUUGGUGGGGGGCGUGGGCGAAGUUCGUCCGCCGGACUCGGAAUGGCCCCAGACUUUGCGGGCGGCCUCCGUGUGCCAAAAAUAGGCCACGGGCACAGCCGCGCCCAAAAAUCAGCCCCCGAAGGUCGGGGUGCCAAGACCCCCCAGCAGAAAAAUGGCCAAAAAACGGGUGGGCUAUAGCCUUGGUGGGGGGCGUGGGCGAAGUUCGUCCGCCGGACUCGGAAUGGCCCCAGACUUUGCGGGCGGCCUCCGUGUGCCAAAAUUAGGCCACGGGCACAGCCGCGCCCAAAAAUCAGCCCCCGAAGGUCGGGACGCCAAGACCCCCCAGCGGAAAAAUGGCCAAAAAAUGGGUGGGCUAUAGCCUUGGUGGGGGGCGUGGGCGAAGUUCAUCCGCCGGACUCGGACUGGCCCCAGACAUUGCGGGCGGCCUCCGGUCGCCAAUAUUAGGCAACGGGCACAGCCGCGCCCAAAAAUCAUCACCCGAAGGUCGGGGUGCCAAGACCCCCCAGCUGAAAAAUGGCCAAAAAACGGGUGGGCUAUAGCCUUGGUGGGGGGCGUGGGCGAAGUUCGUCCGCCGGACUCGGAAUGGCCCCAGACUUUGCGGGCGGCCUCCGUGUGCCAAAAUUAGGCCACGGGAACAGCCGCGCCCAAAAAUCAGCCCCCGAAGGUCGGGGUGCCAAGACCCCCCAACGGAAAAAUGGCCAAAAAACGAAUGGGCUAUAGCC
Molecule: long non-coding RNA, 1913 nt
Filed under: Citrus x clementina
Lineage: Eukaryota; Viridiplantae; Streptophyta; Magnoliopsida; Sapindales; Rutaceae
Description: Citrus clementina (C. clementina) long non-coding RNA (CCLE_LNC004959)
Source: RNAcentral